Tursiops truncatus (common bottlenose dolphin) is the source of this 106-nucleotide small nuclear RNA. Lineage: Eukaryota; Metazoa; Chordata; Mammalia; Artiodactyla; Delphinidae. The record is from Ensembl.
AAGCAAUAUAUAGUUCUCACUUCAGCAGAUUGCAAAGAUACAGGGAAGAUUAACAUGGCCCCUGUGCAAGGAUGACACUAAAAUUUGUGAAGCAUUCCAUAUUCUU